This 1327-nucleotide long non-coding RNA is filed under the name Sorghum bicolor (sorghum). Its description in RNAcentral is "long non-coding RNA (SBIC_LNC007705)". Lineage: Eukaryota; Viridiplantae; Streptophyta; Magnoliopsida; Poales; Poaceae. The record is from RNAcentral.
CUGGUGAAUUUUCCUCUUUGGGUUAUACCUCUCAUGAUACUCAAAAUAAGUUUUCCAUAUAUAUAGGUAUCCUGUUGGAGGUUAUAGGUAUUAUAUUGGAGACCUAUUUUGGAUUUGGAUCUCCCGAUAAGUCUCCUGUUGGAGAAUAGUGCAUUACUCCACACAAUUUCCUUUAUAGUACACUUGUUGGCAUGCAAGAUCACAUGCACACCGCUGCCUGUGCAUGAUCGGCAUUUUGGGACUAUCGCUACCCAAUCUUUUUUAAUGUUUUGGUACACCUUUAGAUCUUGGUCGAUUAAUCCUCUCUCUGAGAUGAUUACUAGAGAUUUGACUUGUAAGAGAUUUUCUACAAACCUUUAGGAUCUAGGUGUGGUCAAUCUCCUCUUCGUUUGGAUCCUUAGAAUUAAAUCAUUCUAAUAAAUUAUAAUUUAGAAACAUAUUAAUUAAGCUAGUAUGGUUAUAUAUGGAAUAUAUUUAUUGUUAGCAAUGAAAGGGAGAUGCUUAUAUAUUGUAUUUCUUCUAUGAGAAAGCGAGUUGAAGAGCAUGCUAUAUAAUUUAAAGAGUAGAAACAUAGCAUGGUAAUCUAUAUAAUUAUUUUUUAUCUUUCACCUAAUAAAUUUACGGUAAAUCUGUAUGUUGCAUGGGCAUUUUUUUCUUUUUUGUCACCCAGAUUUGUGGCCAUUGGAUCCAUCUCUCAUUUGAUCUAGUCCUUCCUUUCUUCUUUGCUUCUAUGCUAGAAAUCCACUUUGUUUAUUGUCUAUAUUUCAAGUAAAAUGUAGAUUAGUGUCCAUGCUCAGCGUUUACUGCUACAUGAAAUUAUCUAGUUAGCAUGUUUUUCUUGUUCAUGUGUUAUUUUAAUUCAUGUCUUUCUCUUACAGUCUCAUAUUGUAAUUUUUACAUUGAUUAUGUCAGUGUAAAUUUUUUUAUUAUUGUUGUAAAUAUGGUUUUUUAUCUGCUCUCUGAAAUUUGUAUUUUUGAUAUAUUUUCAAUUUGAAUUUCAUCCAAUUUGCCUUCCAUGAAUUAAUUUGUCUCUGUAAUUUGUGUUUUUGAUAUGUUUUCAAUUUAACUUUCUUCUAAUUUGCCUUCCAUAGAAUUAAUUUGUCUUUGCAAUUUGUGUUUUUAUUUUCUUCAAUUUGAAUUUCUUCCAAUUUACUUCCAUAGAAUUAAUUUGUUUUUUAUUUGGAUCCUUUGUCUUUUAUAUGGUCUGUUAGAUGUAGAUAUCGUGGUUUUCAAAUUCAGGUGUUUGAUUUCCACGUGUCACCUGUUUUGUAAUUGAUGCGAGAAUCGAACAUUUUAAUUGUUUUUGUCACCCGAGUGACAAGAGCCU